Molecule: long non-coding RNA, 1398 nt
Filed under: Chinchilla lanigera (long-tailed chinchilla)
Lineage: Eukaryota; Metazoa; Chordata; Mammalia; Rodentia; Chinchillidae
Description: lncRNA (ENSCLAG00000026508.1)
Source: RNAcentral
CACUUGAAUGCAGAGGUAACAGGAAGGGGCUGGCUGUCCUCUGCCCACAUGUCUUUAAUUAGAAACAGAGGACGUCAGGACUUCUGACUCCACUGAGAAGCACAGUGAAACUUUAUUAGCCCAAUUAAAAAUCCCUGUCACCAAAGUCUGUGCAACUGAACUUCUGGAGGGCAGAUCUUGGGGUAAAUAUUUGUGCCGUGGCCCCUGGUGCUAAUGGCGCUCGAGGUCCCUGGGGAUCCCUGGAACAGCUGUGGGAAGAGGAGGGGGCGGUGGCCAGGCUCGGGCUGUGCCUUCCCCCAGGCUCGAAGGACAGUCCGAGUUUUUUUUUUAUACCAUCCUCCUGAGGAGGAAAUUACACCAUACAGUUUUCCCCAAGCCAGAUGCAAAAACUAAAACCUUGAAUCCAAACGUCCUCCCUCAAGUGAAAACAUUCUGAGACCUCAGAAAUGAUCACUCACCAAACACUGUUUCCCUGACUUGUAAUUUGGUCAGUUAUCGCUGGUUUUAGAAAGGUUCUGGGUGGUCCCUUGUCCUCAGGGAACUCUGUAGGUUUCAUGGUUUCGGUUUCCGGAGUUUUCUGCUUGCCUAGGAGUUCCAGGGAAACUGACCUUGCUGAGGAAGUCAGCUGCGGAAGGUAGCUCCACACCCAGGGAGGAAAAGCCUAAUUAGGAUUCCUCCCCUUCCUUAAACCCAGGAGUUGGCAGGAGCAGGCCUGGGUGGAGGUGGACACUUUCAAAUUUGAUCCCUCGCACACCUGCCUAAGAAGAUGCUCAACUUAAAAUUUCAAAACAUUUUAUAAUGAUCUGUACAUUUUUUAUAAGUGCCAUUAGAUCUCCUUCUGCCUCUUUCCGGUGUCAGAACUGCUAAGGUUCACCGUUCUCCCUCCCCGGGGACCCGGUCUGUGUUACUUGGGUGGUGUGAGCCUCUGGUUCCUGAAUACCUUAAUGCAUUCCUCUAAUUUGAAGUAUGCAAACUAGGUUUCCUGCUUCACAACCGUCCCAUGCAAUUUGGUUGAAGAGCGGAGCACAUUUCACAGCAAGAGGAUGGGGACCAUCCAAAGCGGAUGGAAAUUGCUCAAAUGAACAAUUUGCAUUUACUGUCCUCCUGGGGGAAGGUAAAUGCAGAAACAUCUGCUGUGGAAGGGUUGUUGUUUUUUUCUGAUUUCAUUAUUGUCCCAAGUUUAACAUCAAGAGUGGCUGGAAGGGAAUGAAGACAGUGUCUGCGCGUAUGUGAAGCUGAACAGAGAGAAGUUGUCCCUUACGGAUCACAGUGAUACUCACCCACAGAAAUGAUUCUUCUAAAUCCAAACCAUUUUUAUGGCAUUCUUCAGCCUCCCAGGUCAGUGGAUAUAACUGUUUCAAAGUUGUUCAGCUGUGACCUUGAUUCAUCUCAUUGUCU